CGGGCGCAUAGCUCAGUUGGUAGAGCAGCUGACUCUUAAUCAGCGGGUCCCAGGUUCGAGCCCUGGUGCGCCAACCA
RNAcentral lists this transfer RNA (77 nucleotides) under Vibrio sp. Vb0877. RNAcentral describes it as "tRNA-Lys". It matches the Rfam family "tRNA". From Rfam's summary of the family: Transfer RNA (tRNA) molecules are approximately 80 nucleotides in length. The record is from RNAcentral. Lineage: Bacteria; Pseudomonadati; Pseudomonadota; Gammaproteobacteria; Vibrionales; Vibrionaceae.